This is a non-coding RNA of Vicia faba (fava bean), 189 nucleotides long. NCBI's taxonomy places the organism in Eukaryota, Viridiplantae, Streptophyta, Magnoliopsida, Fabales, Fabaceae. The record is from the annotation of a GenBank genome assembly.
AUGUUGAAGCUUCAGUGUUGGAUCUGCGAGGCUUGGAUUUGCGGCAGUUUUCUGUCCGGAAUGGGAUCCGUCUCUGGCUGGAUCUGCCAGUGGUUAACCAAUGUUUCAUUUACUUCACCGUCCCAACGAACCUACAACAGACAUGCAUUCAGUCCGCUUAAGCUUCAGGAACAGAUAUUUGCAAAGUAA